UACGUAGGGUGCGAGCGUUGUCCGGAAUUAUUGGGCGUAAAGGGCUCGUAGGCGGUUUGUCGCGUCGGGAGUGAAAUCAUCUGGCUUAACUGGGUGCUUGCUUUCGAUACGGGCAGACUUGAGUACUGCAGGGGAGACUGGAAUUCCUGGUGUAGCGGUGAAAUGCGCAGAUAUCAGGAGGAACACCAAUGGCGAAGGCGGCUCUCUGGGACGGUACUGACGCUGAGACGCGAAAGCGUGGGGAGCGAACAGG
Molecule: ribosomal RNA, 253 nt
Filed under: uncultured bacterium
Lineage: Bacteria
Description: partial 16S ribosomal RNA
Rfam family: Bacterial small subunit ribosomal RNA
Source: RNAcentral